AGGCGACCUUCCCUAUUAAGUCCGCUUCCCUCCUCUUUUAACAGCUACCUGUUGAGAGUCCUAUUUUUAAUGAACAAUUAUAACCUAAGAGCUGUCAUCUGUCAGGUUGUAAACGUUUGUUAAAAAUAGGAGUCCUAGACAUGUAGUCAUUAGACAGCAAAAAAGCCGGAAACAAUAGAAGAAGCCACAGUGGGAGAUGUUAAUUACAUCUGAAUUCAUUACUGAAGUUCAUCUCAGGAAGAAGGGCUGCGGUCUGUGUCCAGUUCUAACAAGAAGGAGGGCUGGUACCCUUCAUAGAAACAGUUCAUCUAGCCUUCAGGAUGCUUCGUUUCUGUGGGCAUAGCUACAGGUGGAUAAACACAGAACACUGCGUGCAGCAAGGCUCGAAGAACAGUAGUGCAGAUCUGUUCUCUGCUCACUCACUGGAUCAGUGAAGAAAUCAAGGCAGAAAGGCGAGAGCCAGUAAAGGCGGAUGCAGAGCUCUGGAGUGACCGAGACCCACACAGGAUGCAUCAGCAAGGGUGUGGCCCUGCUUACCUAGGGUCCAAUUGACUCAUCCAGACUAUCUUGCUUGCCCCUCUGUGAGCUGAGCCUCGCUGGCUGAGUUCUCACACCUCUCAUGAUUGUCACUGGGUGGAACCUGCUACAUAGCAUCACGGUCAGGCCAGUGCUUCUUUAAUUAGCAUUUCAAGUUCACUGAGGUAUGGCUCAUGGGACUGCUCAUCUCCUCCCCACCACAGCCACAGUUCUGGCAGCCCUGGUCACCAGAAGGUGGCCAGGUGAGAUUACCUUUGCCAUUCUGUGGCCAGCUGCAAACCAGCGACCUGGAGAGAAGUCGCCUAUCCACAAGCAGCCCUGGGGAUCCGUCUCUCCAUGCAAAGCAUUUCAAGGCACAGAGGGAACUGUCAUGGUGAGAAUUCUGCUGAGAAUUCUGCCAUAACUCAGGGUGAAACUUCUUUACAAGGAGCAACUUAGAAGGAUGGGGAGGGCAGUGUUGAUCAACUCCACAGUGUGUGUGUGUGUGUGUGUGUGUGUGUGUGUGUGUGUGUGUGUGUGAGAGAGAGAGACAGAGACAGAGACAGAGAGAGACAGAGACAGAGACAGAGAGAUGAGACAGAGAGAGACAGAGAGACAGGGAGAGAGAGACAGAGACAGAGAGAUGAGACAGACAGAGACAGAGAGACAGAGAGAGAGACAGAGAGAGACAGAGACAGAGAGAUGAGACAGAGAGAGACAGAGACAGAGAGAUGAGACAGAGAGAGAGAGAGAGAGAGAGAGAGAGAGAGAGAGAACACAACGGAAGUUCGCCUCCUGUCCUCAAGCUCGUAAUCAAUGUUGAACGCUGUGCAGGACAUACUGCAGGAAUUCUCAGUGAUUCACGGCUUAACUACUCUCAUGGAAGAACAUGGAUGGAGAGAAGCACUCUGUGUGUUUCGGUCGCUGCCGUGGUAUUUUUAGCACUGGUUUCAGUGUUAUGGUUUUUGAUUACUCAGUAAGACAGGAAAUUAAUUUGACUCAAGAUGAAGCUGUCACACCAAGGUCGAGAGCUUUGUGCCUUCCUUCCUUCCUUCCUGACAUUUUGACAUAAGCCUCUGAGAAAUCAAUAGUAAAGUUGAGCUACAGUGACCAGAA
RNAcentral lists this long non-coding RNA (1632 nucleotides) under Mus musculus (house mouse). RNAcentral's name for it is "predicted gene, 32718". The record is from RNAcentral. Lineage: Eukaryota; Metazoa; Chordata; Mammalia; Rodentia; Muridae.